GACAGAGGGUGCAAACGUUGUUCGGAAUUACUGGGCGUAAAGCGCGUGUAGGCGGCCCAGCAAGUCGGAUGUGAAAGCCCUGGGCUUAACCUAGGAAGUGCAUUCGAAACUGCUGGGCUUGAGUUCUGGAGAGGAAGGCGGAAUUCUCGGUGUAGAGGUGAAAUUCGUAGAUAUCGAGAGGAACACCGGUGGCGAAGGCGGCCUUACUGGACAGUGACGUCGAC
Molecule: ribosomal RNA, 224 nt
Filed under: uncultured bacterium
Lineage: Bacteria
Description: partial 16S ribosomal RNA
Rfam family: Bacterial small subunit ribosomal RNA
Source: RNAcentral